Molecule: ribosomal RNA, 111 nt
Filed under: Caerostris extrusa
Lineage: Eukaryota; Metazoa; Arthropoda; Arachnida; Araneae; Araneidae
Source: RNAcentral
AACGGCCAUGCCAUGCUGAAUAUACCGGUUCUCGUUAGAUCACCGAAGUCAAGCAUCGUUGGCGCGGUCAGUACUUGGGUGGGUGACCACCUGGGAACACCGCGUGCCGUU